AUGUGCUCUGAUUGGCUCGGUUCGGGUUCGAAUGGAAGGGAAUUAAAUGGAAGUUUUCUCCUUAAUCCGUACAAAACGGGUUAUUGGGGACUUAUGAGAGAUAGUAUGCUUAUUCAACUAGAAUGAUUUGAAAUAUAAUAAGAAUGAUUGGUAAGAUAUCUCGUAAACCCGUGAACAUGUAUUACAAGCGAAUGAAAAUGUUAAGUGCACUACGCUAAUGUAUAUGUUUUAUUGAAUGGUUGUAGGUAAAGCACAAGUUUAAUCGUCGUUGCGUCACUCGGAUAUGAACACACCUUGAUCACCCGUGAUGCGCUUCCGCCUCUUUUGUAGUAAUUUCAAAUGUUAAUAGUUUUGUAAUGUCUAGUUGUGUUGAAGUCUUUAAUCUUUAACUAGUCGUUUGCAAGUAUUUAGUACUUAGAACUCAAUGUUUGAAAUGGUGGUUGAAAAUGUUAUGUUCUUUUGGUGUUUUAGGGAAAGUGUCGUAGUUUGAGUAUUUUGA
This 499-nucleotide long non-coding RNA is filed under the name Helianthus annuus (common sunflower). The record is from RNAcentral. Lineage: Eukaryota; Viridiplantae; Streptophyta; Magnoliopsida; Asterales; Asteraceae.